RNAcentral lists this unclassified non-coding RNA (1457 nucleotides) under Cladophialophora sp. KO-groupE 2014. RNAcentral describes it as "partial contains ITS1, 5.8S rRNA, ITS2 and LSU". The stretch from base 563 to 1457 matches the Rfam family "Eukaryotic large subunit ribosomal RNA", at positions 1 to 916 of the family's 3401-position model. Lineage: Eukaryota; Fungi; Ascomycota; Eurotiomycetes; Chaetothyriales; Herpotrichiellaceae. The record is from RNAcentral.
UCCGUAGGUGAACCUGCGGAAGGAUCAUUACUGAGUUAGGGUCUUCCAGGCCCGACCUCCAACCCUUUGCCUACCUUACCUCUUGUUGCUUCGGCCGGCCCGUCCCCCCUAGAAAUAGGGGUCGACCGCCGGAGGGCUCACACCCUCUGGCCCGCGCCCGCCGAUGGCCCUCAACCAAAACUCUUGUUCAAUCGUGAAUUGUCUGAGUAUACAAAACAAAAUAAACCAAAAACUUUCAACAACGGAUCUCUUGGUUCUGGCAUCGAUGAAGAACGCAGCGAAAUGCGAUAAGUAAUGCGAAUUGCAGAAUCCGUGAGUCAUCGAAUCUUUGAACGCACAUUGCGCCCCUUGGUUAUUCCGAAGGGCAUGCCUGUUCGAGCGUCAUUAUCACCCCUCAAGCCCUGGCUUGGUGUUGGACUUUAGUUAUAGCUUUGCCUAUCAACUGGUCUCAAAGAUAGUGACGGCGCCCCAGAGGGAACCGGGUACGAGGAGCUUUUUACUAAGCAUGUAUCUGGGACGACUCUGAUGGGCGACGGUCUUGUUAUACUUUUUACCUAAGUGUUGACCUCGGAUCAGGUAGGAAUACCCGCUGAACUUAAGCAUAUCAAUAAGCGGAGGAAAAGAAACCAACAGGGAUUGCCUCAGUAACGGCGAGUGAAGCGGCAACAGCUCAAAUUUGAAAUCUGGCUUCUCGGAGCCCGAGUUGUAAUUUGUAGAGGAUGUUUCGGGUACCGCUCCGGCUUAAUUUUCUUGGAACAGAAUGUCAGAGAGGGUGAGAAUCCCGUCUGGAGCCGCGGUAGGGCCUAUGUGAAACUCCUUCGACGAGUCGAGUUGUUUGGGAAUGCAGCUCAAAAUGGGUGGUAAAUUUCAUCUAAAGCUAAAUAUUGGCCAGAGACCGAUAGCGCACAAGUAGAGUGAUCGAAAGAUGAAAAGCACUUUGAAAAGAGAGUUAAACAGUAUGUGAAAUUGUUGAAAGGGAAGCGCUGGCAACCAGACUUGCGUGUAGGGGUUCCCCCUCGCUUCUGCGUGGGUUACUCCCCUAUAUCCAGGCCAACAUCGGUUUUGGCGGUCGGUCAAAGGCCUUGGGAAUGUACCUUCCCCCGGGAAGACUUAUAGCCCAGGGUGUCAUGCGGCCUGCCGGGACCGAGGAACGCGCUUCGGCUCGGAUGUUGGCGUAAUGGUUGUCAGCGACCCGUCUUGAAACACGGACCAAGGAGUCUAACAUCUAUGCGAGUGUUAGGGUGUCAAACCCUUGCGCGGAAUGAAAGUGAACGGAGGUAGGAAGCCCUCGGGCUGCACUAUCGACCGAUCCUGAAGUUUACGGAUGGAUUUGAGUAAGAGCAUAGCUGUUGGGACCCGAAAGAUGGUGAACUAUGCCUGAAUAGGGUGAAGCCAGAGGAAACUCUGGUGGAGGCUCGCAGCGGUUCUGACGUGCAAAUCGAUCGUCAAAUUUGGGU